Esox lucius (northern pike) is the source of this 1345-nucleotide long non-coding RNA. The record is from Ensembl. Lineage: Eukaryota; Metazoa; Chordata; Actinopteri; Esociformes; Esocidae.
GUUUUCAACUUGGAACAGUGAACAAAGUUAUAACUACUUGUUUGCUGCUUAGAAUUGUGUUGUUGCCAAAGUACUAUUUAAUGAUAGUUGGUUUAAAGAUGCCCCUGAAGUGUAAAAGCUCUGUCCUUUGAAACAACUAACAUUUCUGAUUCUUCACUUAGGUGUUUUGGAUGGGGUCCAGAAGCACAUUCGGAUUUGCAGGAUACAGCUAACCAUAGUUGACUCCUUCUCUCCAUUGUAGGUUGGAUCCAGCCCAAUGUUAUUUAUUUGAAUAUCUAGAGUGUGAGAGAGUUUGGCCAAUGCCGUUUUUGGUCACAAUGUUCCGAGAGCGGCAUUUUCAGCAGGUUUUUUCUGAUGGUUUAAAACUUGUCCAGUGAAAUCAGAUUUUUAGAUUAACAUUAAAACCUGAAAUGUUGCUGCGAUGCUCUAAUAUUGCAUUACCAGCAUUUCAUGAGUGGACAUCACAUAACGGUACACUUUUGUGUACUGCUUGGUUUUGAGGGUGUCGUUACAUAGGAAAUGUCAGAGAUGCUCUCAAAUUACGUCACCAACAUUUCAAGAUAAAAGGCGUUAAAUUGUCUAUUAUUAAACCUGGCCAAACUCUCUCAUGGCUCUGAUUCAGCCAACUGCUGCCGUAUCGCAAUGCUAACACUAUUUGAUUGGUUUGCAGGUAAAAUGAGAACACGAUUUACUUCUCCCCUUCCCCUUUGAUAAUUCAGUUGAUUUUGCAACAUAGGUUUUCGGGCCUCCAAUACACUUUGGAAGACUUAUGCUUCUUCCACCUACUGCUUUCCCUGUAACACCCCCCCCCCACACACACACACACACACACACACACACACACAACUGUUCGCUCGGUUAAGAGGUGGUGGUGUUGUUGUGGUGGUUGCCGCUCUUAUCCCUUUUCAUCAAGCAGGGGCCCAACCUGGAUCACCUUUGUUUGUUAACCCAGUGGAUGGAGGUUAACGUCUGUGACGACACCCGGGUUCACAGAUCAGACACACUUAAAGCCACUCGCUUCCACUACCCCUCCCGCCCUCCAAGGCAUGCCAGCAAUGCUCGGCAUUCACAUGUUUUGUUGGGAUCAUGAAAAACACACCGCGUUGCUGUUAUAUUGUGUACAAUGUAAUAUUGUCAAGCACUGGCGGAAAUAAUGACUUGAGUUGUUGGGUAAAAGAAGAACAAAUUGUACGUUUGACGUUUGUAUUGGAAGAAAUGUUCAACCGUUUAGAUUGUACCACCUAAAGGUUGUUCAAGAACUGCAAUAUUUGCUUGGAAUCUGUAAAUGCAACAUGUUGGAACAAUUAAAUUAUUUUACUAAAUAUUCAAGCUGCAAUGUACAUUG